This 475-nucleotide long non-coding RNA is filed under the name Olea europaea subsp. europaea. Lineage: Eukaryota; Viridiplantae; Streptophyta; Magnoliopsida; Lamiales; Oleaceae. The record is from RNAcentral.
AUCCCCACCGAAUUCAACUGGCCUGAAGUAGCUGAGGUUUGUUGGGAAAAUGGGCUAAGCAUUUUAUUCGAACAAAUAUAGAACCAGAAUGGAUGGUUUUGUGUUUAUUACUAGUUCUUCCUCCUGAGUUGAGACCCAUCAUUCAGAUAGAUGGGGGUAAACCAGUGAGCUCGAAUAUUAAUGAACUAUAUAGAAAAGUUAUCUAUCGGAACAAUACUCUUACCGAUCUAUUAACAACAAGUAACUCCACGCCAGGAGAAUUAGUAAUGUGUCAGGAGAAUUAGUACAAGAAGUCGUGGCUACACUUCUUGAUAAUGGAAUCCGUGGACAACCAAUAAGGGAUGGUCAAAAUAAAGUUUACAAGUCAUUUUUAGAUGUAAUUGAAGGCAAAGAUGGAAUAUUUCGUGAGACUCUGUUGGGAGAACGGGUUGAUUAUUCAGGUCGUUCCGUCAUUAUCGUGUUACGAACUGUGAAU